This 1132-nucleotide ribosomal RNA is filed under the name Clostridioides difficile. Its description in RNAcentral is "partial 23S ribosomal RNA". It matches the Rfam family "Bacterial large subunit ribosomal RNA", at positions 1560 to 2703 of the family's 2925-position model. The record is from RNAcentral. Lineage: Bacteria; Bacillati; Bacillota; Clostridia; Peptostreptococcales; Peptostreptococcaceae.
GAUGUGAUGGGGAGCGAAAUUUAGUAGCGAAGUAGCUGAUUUCACACUGUCAAGAAAAGUCUCUAUCGAGGUUAAAGGUACCCGUACCGCAAACCGACACAGGUGGGUGAGGAGAGUAUCCUAAGGCCAGCGAGAGAACUGUUGUUAAGGAACUCGGCAAAAUGACCCCGUAACUUAGGGAUAAGGGGUGCCACCAUCAGGUGGCCGCAGAGAAUAGGCCCAAGCGACUGUUUACCAAAAACAUAGGUUUCUGCUAAGUCGCAAGACGAUGUAUAGGAGCUGACGCCUGCCCGGUGCUGGAAGGUUAAGGGGAUCUGUUAGAGUAAUCGAAGCAGUGAACUUAAGCCCCAGUAAACGGCGGCCGUAACUAUAACGGUCCUAAGGUAGCGAAAUUCCUUGUCGGGUAAGUUCCGACCCGCACGAAAGGCGUAACGAUUUGGGCACUGUCUCAACAACAGACUCGGUGAAAUUGUAAUUCCGGUGAAGAUGCCGGAUACCUGCGACAGGACGGAAAGACCCCAUGGAGCUUUACUGUAGCUUGACAUUGGGUCUUGGUACUACAUGUACAGGAUAGGUGGGAGGCUUUGAAACCAGGACGCCAGUUUUGGCGGAGCCAUCCUUGGGAUACCACCCUUGUAGUACUGGGACUCUAACCAUAGGCCAUGAAUCUGGUCUUGGGACACUGUCAGGUGGGCAGUUUGACUGGGGCGGUCGCCUCCCAAAAGGUAACGGAGGCGCUCAAAGGUUCUCUCAGUACGGUCGGAAAUCGUACGUAGAGUGUAAAGGCAAAAGAGAGCUUGAUUGCAAGACAUACAGGUCGAGCAAGGAUGAAAAUCGGACUUAGUGAUCCGGUGGUUCUGCGUGGAAGGGCCAUCGCUCAACGGAUAAAAGCUACCCUGGGGAUAACAGGCUUAUCUCCCCCAAGAGUCCACAUCGACGGGGAGGUUUGGCACCUCGAUGUCGGCUCAUCACAUCCUGGGGCUGUAGUAGGUCCCAAGGGUUGGGCUGUUCGCCCAUUAAAGUGGUACGCGAGCUGGGUUCAGAACGUCGUGAGACAGUUCGGUCCCUAUCCGUCGCAGGCGUAGGAAAUUUGAGAAGACCUGUCCUUAGUACGAGAGGACCGGGAUGGACG